AGGGUAAUAGCUCAGUGGUAGAGUGUGUGCUUAGUAUGCACAAGGUCCUGGGUUCAAUCCCUAGUACCUCCA
This 72-nucleotide transfer RNA is filed under the name Camelus bactrianus (Bactrian camel). It matches the Rfam family "tRNA". From Rfam's summary of the family: Transfer RNA (tRNA) molecules are approximately 80 nucleotides in length. Their secondary structure includes four short double-helical elements and three loops (D, anti-codon, and T loops). Lineage: Eukaryota; Metazoa; Chordata; Mammalia; Artiodactyla; Camelidae. The record is from Rfam by way of RNAcentral. RNAcentral also lists the same sequence under 3 other names.